CUUCAAUUAUGUCCCUGAUGCAAGAUUCAAUCAUGUUCAUGCAUGAAGAUAUUGAAACUUAAUACCUGACCCCGCAACUCAUCUGCUAGCUGUCUCUCAAGUCUUUCACUGGAAGCCAGUUUUCCAAAUCUCAAACAAGCUCCAUGAGCAACAGAACGAAACAGACACCUUCCAUCUCCAGGGGACAAGCUGAAGGAACAUGAAUUUGAUGUUCCUGUUUCUUGAGGCCUAACUCCACAGAUGCUGCUACUCAUAAGAAUCUGAUGAGCAUGGCCUUUGAGCAUAACAGCAUUUAUUGAGUAUAAGCUCAUUGAUGAAGAGCAAACAAUCAUCUCUUAUUGCCUGAGUCAAGAACCACACACCAUCAUGUCAUUUUUAUUGAGUACAGGAAUAAAUUUCAUAAAAGAAUUUGAUUA
Arachis ipaensis is the source of this 416-nucleotide non-coding RNA. The record is from RefSeq and is a predicted model, not a curated record. NCBI's taxonomy places the organism in Eukaryota, Viridiplantae, Streptophyta, Magnoliopsida, Fabales, Fabaceae.